CAAACAUUAAUUAAUUCUCCUUCCUUAUCUUCUUUCUGCGGUUCAACCCUUCCAACUCUGGCAUGGAAAGCGACUCACACCUGCGUUCCGUAACGGUGCAGAUCUUCUCCGCUGUGCGACCACCGAUCGCCGACAACAAGCAUGUCGUGGGUGGUUUAGGAGAGGAAAGGACGAGCUGACGGCUGAACGAUCUGACGACUUUGCAAGCGACCAUUGAUUCGGAUCGGAGAGACAACCGUUGUGAGACAAAGCCAAAUCCGAACGUUGGGGAAGGCAUCUGUAUAUAAAGGAGGGAGAUAAGGUGUGUUUCCUACAUUUAAACAAUCAUCAUGUUUUGUUAAGACUCGUUGUUUUGAGUACAAAUUUGUAUUAGUUUAUAGUAGAAAUUAGUAUUUGAUCCCUUGAAUUUGAUUGUAUUGAAUUAAAUUUGGUGAUUUGAAACAUCAUUUGGAAACCCCCAACUUGAGUUUAGGGUUUAUUUUGUUCAUAUUUAAUUUAUUUGAAAUUGUUCUUGUCU
Long non-coding RNA from Malania oleifera, 517 nucleotides. RefSeq lists it as uncharacterized. The record is from RefSeq and is a predicted model, not a curated record. The transcript is spliced from 2 exons. NCBI's taxonomy places the organism in Eukaryota, Viridiplantae, Streptophyta, Magnoliopsida, Santalales, Ximeniaceae.